CAGUGUACCCGCGGCAAGACGGAAAGACCCCGUGAACCUUUACUACAGCUUGACACUGAACACUGAGCCUUGAUGUGUAGGAUAGGUGGGAGGCUUUGAAGCGUGGACGCCAGUCUGCGUGGAGCCGGCCUUGAAAUACCACCCUUUAAUGUUUGGUGUUCUAACGUAGGCCCGUAAUCCGGGCUGCGGACAGUGUCUGGUGGGUAGUUUGACUGGGGCGGUCUCCUCCCAAAGCGUAACGGAGGAGCACGAAGGUUGGCUAAUCCUGGUCGGACAUCAGGAGGUUAGUGCAAUGGCAUAAGCCAGCUUGACUGCGAGAGUGACGGCUCGAGCAGGUGCGAAAGCAGGUCAUAGUGAUCCGGUGGUUCUGAAUGGAAGGGCCAUCGCUCAACGGAUAAAAGGUACUCCGGGGAUAACAGGCUGAUACCGCCCAAGAGUUCAUAUCGACGGCGGUGUUUGGCACCUCGAUGUCGGCUCAUCACAUCCUGGGGCUGAAGUAGGUCCCAAGGGUACGGCUGUUCGCCGUUUAAAGUGGUACGCGAGCUGGGUUUAGAACGUCGUGAGACAGUUCGGUCCCUAUCUGCCGUGGGCGCUGGAGAAUUGAGGGGGGUUGCUCCUAGUACGAGAGGACCGGAGUGAACGCACCGCUGGUGUCCGGGUUGUCACGCCAGUGGCACUGCCCGGUAGCUAAGUGCGGAAAAGAUAAGUGCUGAAAGCAUCUAAGCACGAAACUUGCCCCGAGAUGAGUUCUCCCUGAGCCUUUAAGGCUCCUGAAGGGACGUUGAAGACGACGACGUUGAUAGGCCGGGUGUGUAAGCGCAGCGAUGCGUUGAGCUUACCGGUACUAAUGACCCGUGAGGCUUAACCUUACAACGCCAGAGGCGUUUUG
This 889-nucleotide ribosomal RNA is filed under the name Pantoea ananatis. RNAcentral describes it as "bacterial LSU rRNA". It matches the Rfam family "Bacterial large subunit ribosomal RNA", at positions 2062 to 2925 of the family's 2925-position model. The record is from RNAcentral. Lineage: Bacteria; Pseudomonadati; Pseudomonadota; Gammaproteobacteria; Enterobacterales; Erwiniaceae.